Molecule: ribosomal RNA, 253 nt
Filed under: uncultured Corynebacterium sp.
Lineage: Bacteria; Bacillati; Actinomycetota; Actinomycetes; Mycobacteriales; Corynebacteriaceae
Description: partial 16S ribosomal RNA
Rfam family: Bacterial small subunit ribosomal RNA
Source: RNAcentral
CGUAGGGUGCGAGCGUUGUCCGGAAUUACUGGGCGUAAAGAGCUCGUAGGUGGUUUGUCGCGUCGUCUGUGAAAUUCCGGGGCUUAACUCCGGGCGUGCAGGCGAUACGGGCAUAACUUGAGUGCUGUAGGGGAGACUGGAAUUCCUGGUGUAGCGGUGAAAUGCGCAGAUAUCAGGAGGAACACCGAUGGCGAAGGCAGGUCUCUGGGCAGUUACUGACGCUGAGGAGCGAAAGCAUGGGUAGCGAACAGGA